AUUUCUUCUUUAAUAUCUUAAUAAAUUCAACAAUGAUUCAUAGGUCUUACACCAAAUUCAAUAAGACUUUCAACCUAAAAUAAAAGUAUAAGGAUUCUGCUUCUGAUCACUCUUCCAUUCAUAUCUUGUAUCAUCUUAAUUCCUCAACAUCUGUAAAAACAGUAAAAUAGAAGGUAAUGAGCUAGACAGCCCAGUAAGCAAUGAUCACUUCUCAACAGAUUUCAUCAGGCAUUUAAGUAAAUAAUCAUUUAUAGAAAAUAAGCAUAUAGAGUUCAUCAAUUCG
RNAcentral lists this long non-coding RNA (283 nucleotides) under Elaeis guineensis (African oil palm). RNAcentral's name for it is "long non-coding RNA (EGUI_LNC061371)". The record is from RNAcentral. Lineage: Eukaryota; Viridiplantae; Streptophyta; Magnoliopsida; Arecales; Arecaceae.